UGGAGAAUAGCAUAAGUUGCAGUGUAUUCUGUUUACACCAGAAAGGUAGUUUAUAUAACUUUUUCCGU
Molecule: transfer RNA, 68 nt
Filed under: Meretrix lyrata
Lineage: Eukaryota; Metazoa; Mollusca; Bivalvia; Venerida; Veneridae
Description: tRNA-Val
Source: RNAcentral